AUAAGCGGAGGAAAAGAAACCAACUGGGAUUACCUUAGUAACGGCGAGUGAAGCGGUAAAAGCUCAAAUUUGAAAUCUGGUACUUUCAGUGCCCGAGUUGUAAUUUGUAGAAUUUGUCUUUGAUUAGGUCCUUGUCUAUGUUCCUUGGAACAGGACGUCAUAGAGGGUGAGAAUCCCGUUUGGCGAGGAUACCUUUUCUCUGUAAGACUUUUUCGAAGAGUCGAGUUGUUUGGGAAUGCAGCUCAAAGUGGGUGGUAAAUUCCAUCUAAAGCUAAAUAUUGGCGAGAGACCGAUAGCGAACAAGUACAGUGAUGGAAAGAUGAAAAGAACUUUGAAAAGAGAGUGAAAAAGUACGUGAAAUUGUUGAAAGGGAAGGGCAUUUGAUCAGACAUGGUGUUUUUUGCAUGCACUCGCCUCUCGUGGGCUUGGGCCUCUCAAAAAUUUCACUGGGCCAACAUCAAUUCUGGCAGCAGGAUAAAUCAUUAAGAAUGUAGCUACUUCGGUAUUUAUAGCUUUUUGGAAACCUAGCCUUUAAAAAUCUUUAAAGCAACCACAACACACAAGCA
This 566-nucleotide ribosomal RNA is filed under the name Hanseniaspora uvarum. RNAcentral's name for it is "eukaryotic LSU rRNA". It matches the Rfam family "Eukaryotic large subunit ribosomal RNA", at positions 46 to 615 of the family's 3401-position model. The record is from RNAcentral. Lineage: Eukaryota; Fungi; Ascomycota; Saccharomycetes; Saccharomycodales; Saccharomycodaceae.